Molecule: ribosomal RNA, 253 nt
Filed under: uncultured bacterium
Lineage: Bacteria
Description: partial 16S ribosomal RNA
Rfam family: Bacterial small subunit ribosomal RNA
Source: RNAcentral
UACAGAGGUCUCAAGCGUUGUUCGGAUUUACUGGGCGUAAAGGGUGCGUAGGCGGUGGCGUAAGUCGAGUGUGAAAUCUUCCGGCCUAACCGGAAAACUGCACUCGAUACUGCAUCACUAGAGGACUGUAGAGGAGACUGGAAUUCACGGUGUAGCAGUGAAAUGCGUAGAUAUCGUGAGGAAGACCGGUGGCGAAAGCGAGUCUCUGGGCAGUUCCUGACGCUGAGGCACGAAGGCUAGGGGAGCAAACGGG